UGGAGACUAAAUUGCGAGACGAAUCUAUUAAGCCUAAUUAGUCCAUAAUUUGACAAUAUGAUGCUACAGUAAAUAUGUGCUAAUGAUGGACUAAUUAGGCUUAAUAGAUUCGUCUUAUGAAAUAGUCUCUAUCUGUGUAAUUAGUUUAUAAUUAGUUGAUGUUUAGUCCUCCUUAUUAGCCUCCGAAUAUUCGAUGUGAUAUAAAUUUUAGUCCGAACUAAAAAUCCAAACACCCCUCCGUCUAUCACUAAACCUCGUAUAGUUUUAGGUACGAUGAAACCGCAACUUACCAUAAAAAUUCUUGAAAAAAACAUACAGAGUGGUCAUGGUGCAACAGCACCAACGUAGUUUAAUGCUCUGUUAACGUGGAUUUCAUAUGCAGAAGGGUGGGAAUAAAACCACAACAGUUGCUAGAAACCUUUUGCAUUUUGUGUCAGUCCCGUGACAGUGAGUGAUAGAGCUCUGUUCCUACCAAUUAGGUUCUCUGUUCCUGUUGCUAGCUGACUCUACCUUACUGAGAAUCACACAUGCGUUGUGUCUUUUAUGUUGACGCUUUUUCUAGCCAACGCACGAGUGCUCUAGCUCGCGCGUAGAUCAGGAAACCACCUCGUCGAAGCUCUUGCACCUGGCCGGUCAGACCGGUAGGGGUCAGGCUGGUCCUCGCAGGGACACCACGAAAACCUACGUCCACCACCUCGGGAGGGACCUCGUCGGGCAUGGAGAACCUAGGGUUGCUUUGAGAUCAGCAGGCCAUUCAGAACGUCCUCAACUGUCGUCGAGACAAAGGAGGAAAGCAAAGGGGUUGGAAAAGCUAGGGUUUGGAGAUAAAAAGUGUAAAAGAUAUUUUUGUCGAUUAGGUGAUGCCCCUCAAUCGGCUAGGGCCCUUUAUAUUUAUAGGGUGGGAGGUCUUUUCCUGUAAGAAAGUCCCGUUUCAACUCCAAUUUGGCCAGGACUCCAAGAUUCAUCUCGGACUUGGGAUGACCGGUCUGACUGCACCAGCGACCGCGCCGACCAUGCCAGCGACUGCUCCGACUCCUCUAACCACUCGAGACCGGUCAGACCACCCAUAGAGAGCGGUCUGACCGGCUGGUCCAGCCUGGUCGACAUUGCUGCCACUUUUUUGGCUCCAACAUAUGCCCCCUGUUUCUUGGUAAAGCUUGCGUAACAAGAAAUAAAAUAAGCCUAAGGGUGAUGGAUUCCACCGGCCAUUUGUUCUAAGGUCGAUAUUUCAAAAUAUCGGUCAUAUUGCUUCAAGUGUCUUGCCAAACACUAGGAUGGUACCUUUUCAGGUACCUCCCAUUCAGAGCUCUAGGUAGCUAAAAUCCAUGUAAUGUCUUCACCAUAUAGGAAUUCCCGCGAAGCACACUUGUAAUUUUAUAUGGCCCUUCCCAACUCGAAGACCACUUUCCAAACUUAUUACUCUUGGUUCCUAUAGGUAGGAUUGUCUUCCAAACCAGAUCUCCUACCUAAAAUGUCUUCGCCUUGACCUUUUUAUUGUAUGCUCUAGCCUACGUCCAGUAUGAGGAGUAGCUCGUGUUACUCACGCAAGUUCUGUAGUAGGGGGUACAAACGGGCGAGAGAGGGAGCCGGUCCCAAGUCUUUUGGGUGUGCACUGAUGCUCUAGAGGUGAGUGUGUGGGCUGUUGGCUUGAGCGUCCUCCCGGUAUCAGGGCCCUGGUUCUCCGCAAGGAGGGCUCAGGGUCACAGGUGAAUCGGGUGUGUGGAGAAGUAAAAGAGAUAAGCUAAGUAAAGUAAAUACAAGGAGAAGGACCAAGUCCCCGGGUUGCCGCCUCCUGCUCCAGCCUUCAGCUCCUGUCAGCGCGUCCAUCGGAGGAGGGCGGCUGUCUUUGGAUCCUGUCGACGAUCUUCCUGGGGACCGCUGCCGCCAAGCAUGAUGAUGGUGUUCGGUCAUGGCAACUGUGCACGUUGGGGGAGACGGCUGACCCCUGUUGUCCUGCUUAUGGUCCGCGGGACACGGAUGUCGCGUCCCUAUCGCCAGGUACACGGGGCGCGAGAACGGGCGGAGCUCCCUCCUGUGUUGGGCGGCGUAUGCCAUGAGUGUCCUAUGGCGAAUCAGGGGGAGCCGCGGCCACUGUAGCCUGUGUGGUCGUGGCUACAAUAUUCUGCCCGGGUACUUGUGGUGGUCACGUCGAGGGGCGCGGGCACCUUUCUGCGUGCCAGAGCCGCGGCGCAUUUAUGGCAAGAUUAGUCAGGGGCCCACGAGAUUGACACACUCAUCUGCCGGUCUGCGCCCAAGGCGGACCCUUGUCUUGUGGGCUCGGAUGAGUCCGACCCCCUACGCCCGGGGUCGGGUGAGGCAGAACCUUGCCGCGAGGGGUCGGGCGCAUCCGACCCUAGGACCGUGGGUUGGUCGAGGCGGAGUUUUGCCAUUGAGGGGUCGGGAGUGUUUGACCCCAGGGUCCUAGGUCGGGCGAGACGGAGCGGGAUGUUCCCUGCCCAUACUAGGCUGGCAGCAAUUGUCAUCAUCACAGGUGGGCCUGGGCCUUCAUGAUUGUUGUUUUAAGGGGCAUUAGGAGGUCGUUAAUAUUUCCCCCCAACAGUAGCCCCCGAGCCUGUGGUGGAGCGAGGAUGCUCCUCCAGAGGCUGCUUUCGUUGUUCAUCGGGGAUCUCAACUCGUCAUGCGAGCUGCAGUUAAUACAGGAUAGGGAGUGUUGUUUGCUCGACUUGACCAGGGAGAUUGAUCAGGCGAGGUGUCCUGUGGAUGACUUGAUACGGGAGGAUUUCUUAUUGUUCCAUAGGGCGCUUCCCGCCUGGAGACCUCAAGUCACGACCAUUUGUGUGGUCAUUGGUUGCGAUGCUAGCCCCCGCGCGUUGCAGGAGACCGGUCGGGAGGCUAGAUCGGCUUUUGAACGUUGCCCCUCAAGCGUCCGUUCGCUGAGACGGAGGGGGUGAGCCGUGCCACGCUAUCCUCGCUGGACAAAUCGUGGUGCUCAUUGAGCUGCAAACGGGUCGAUUCGAGUGGGAUCCCAGUCCCCAUUCCGGGGGGCCCGGCUCGUGCCAAGCUGGUGGCGUACCCUAGAUUCUGGCCAGCCAAAUCAUAUAGUUCCCGAGUCCGUUCGAUCGGAUUCGAGGGCUCGUUGCCUUUCUUCGGGGAAAAACCAUGAACUUUGAUUCCAGUCCGGACUCGAACAUGAGGUCGGGACGCCCUAGGCUAUCGUGCGCCCGGGUGAUGGCCGCUAGCGGACCCGUCCCUUCUCACCCCUCGCUUGGGGUUAGCCUGGGGCGGUUGUUGAACCCUUAGUGGACCAACCUUCGAACCCCUGGACCGUAAUGGGCCGUAGGGGUGUUUUCAGUCCCGUAUUCCUUUUUUACCUAUUGGUGGGCCUUGGGCCGGUUGUGGAGGAGGUUGUGCGCGUGCGUUUUCUGGGAGGCGAAGUGGCGGAAGGCGCCGGCCCACGAAGCGAGGGAGGCGGAGAUUUCUUCCUGCAGCAGAUCGUGCGCACGGAUUCCGAGAAAAGCGAGCGUGAUGGGGCGUACUGGGCGCUGCAUUAACUGCGACAAGACCGUCCCUUUCGCUUCCGACGCGCUCGCCUAUAAGACGGGGGGGUCUGACUCGCCGGUUCCGCCCGCAACUGCUCCAAAAUCUUUUCGCCUUCUCGCGCACCCUUUGCCUUCUUGCGCGCCGUUCGCCUUCCUCCGCCUAGCGCUGCUGCUUUCCUCACCCUCUGCCAUCGGUGCCUUCUCCCCUUCGCGAUGGAGUCCUGGACGUGCUCAAGCUUCGGUACCUCGCGCGCCGACAGCCUCAUGAGGAAAGGCCUCCUCUGCGAGAGGACCGAGAGGGGUGAAUGGCGGUUACCCGAGAGCGAAGAGGUGCCGAGUCCGCCUGCCGGCUACGUCGUUUCAUUCGCCCACUUCCACAAGAGGGGGUUCGCGACCCCGCCGAGCCGCUUCUUCCCUGGACUGCUGCACUACUACGGGCUUGAGCUGCAGUACCUUAAUCCCAACAGGAUCCAACACAUCACGGCGUUCGUCGUGCUGUGCAAGGGGUUCCUGGGCAUUGAGCCCAACUUCUCGCUCUGGAAGUACUUCUUCGUGGUCAGCCUGUACUAGAGGACCGAGAGGAAGGGGAGCCAGCAGCGGACGACCCCGGUGCUGAUUGGGUGCGCCGCUAUCCAUCUUCACCAGAACCGCACCAAGGAAUAUAUGGCGAUGAAGACCACGACAUCCCACAAGGGGUGGCUUUAGCAGUGGUUCUAUGUGAAGAACUACUCUAACUCCCCCUUGCCGGCGUUCACCGGCCGCGUCAUCGAAGCGGCACCGGAGCUGUGGUCGUAUGGCCCGGUAGAGAAGGAGAAGAAGCAGAUCACUGAUUUGCUUCAGGCCAUCGAGUACCUGAAGGGAAAAGGUCUGACCGGGGUCGGAGUUAUCGGGGCGUACCACGCUCGGAGGGUGGCGCCGCUGAUGCUCCGGGUUCGCUCGCUCGCCGAUAUGGUUCCCGGCGCGCCGACCAAAGGCACCAUCCUUGCGACGGGCGCGCUUGCCGACAGCGAGAUCUGGCAGCAAGUCCGGGAGGUGCUGGACGACAAGGACGCCGAUUACCCGGUGCCUGGUCAUCCUCCAAUGCACCCGGACGAGAAUUUCAUCGAGCUGGUGAGGACUUUGCGCUCUCAUUCUUUUUUCCUACGUUUCUUGGCUCAUCGAUCCGACGCGGAGUUUUCGUGUCUGCCAGGCCACAUGUCUAGGGUCGUGGCUCACACCCGCCGGUGCCAGAGGAUGCUGAACGGCGGUAGCAGAACCGCCUCCUCGCCGAGAAGCAGAAGAGGCACAACGACAAAGAGACGACGAGGAAGAAAAAGAAGGCCACCAAGGAGUUCCAACAGCGGCAGUGGGGCAAUGUCGUGUCGGACAACGACAACGCCGAUGAUGAGGAGGAAGACAAGGAAGACGAGGAGGAGGAGGAGGAGGAGGAGGAGUUCAUUCUGACCACCCGGCCGGACGCGCUCGUCAUCCGAGAGUAGCGCCCCAAACCGGCCGCAGCGGACAAGCCGAGCGAACCGCCCGCCCAGGACCCGCCCCCACAAGGCUCUAGGGCCGCGCCCUAGGGGUCGGCGCAGGGCGCACCUCGAGAGUCAACAGAGCCGACCCCUGACCCUCUUCCUGUGUCCCAUGAGCAGAGGAGUAGCGGCAAGCGGCCGCUGCCAAAAGCCCCGGGGUCGGCGUCGAGCUCGGAGGCGAAACGCGCCCGCCGUCCUCGUGCUGAGGGAGUGUAAGUGGAAAUUCCUCGCGCAUCUUAUUCCUUCCCCGCCAUCGAGCUGUAUUUGAUGAUGUUGUUUGUUGUUUCACAGUGCCGCCCCUCGAGACUUCGUCCUGCCGCUGGCGCCGAAGAAGGCGCUACGAGUGUCGUCCGGCUCCUCGAGGCGAGCCGCGACCCCGCCGGGGGUGAGCGGCGGUGUCGCCGGGGAGACUGCGGAACCCACCGCGGAGGCGGCCUCUACGGCGGCAACCAGUGGGAGGGUGUCGCAGCUGAGCACGAGCAGGGUCCGACCCCUGCUCCGCCUUCUGCCUCCGCGGCUGCCCCUGCAAGACAAGGUGUUGCCGCUGGGGUCCCUCCGCCUGGCAAGGUGAUAGACCUCGAUGACAAGGAGGAGGAGGAGCCUGCGGCUCCGACGGCGAUAGCGGAGAUGGGGGCAGUUGCCCCAGUGACUGCGAUGGAGAUGGAGGUGGCGACGGAGGAGGGAAAGUCCGCCCCCGCGUCCAUGACGGGGAUAGCGGCAGCGGUGGAGGCGGGGGUACGUGCCCCAGCAGCCGCGACGAAGGCGGCGACGGCGGCAAAGGCGGGGGUGCCUGCCCCGGCGGCCACGACGGAGGUGGGGACGCCUGCUUUGGCGGCCGCGACGAAGGCCGCAGCAGCGGUGGGAACGGGAAUGCCCGCUCCGACAGCCGUGACGGAGACGAUGGCGGUGGCGGAUGGAGCGGGAUGGGCGUCGGCGUCGACGGUGGCCGCGGCGACUUCGAGAGAGACGGCGGCGCAUGUGCCGGGGCCGUCGGCGAGGCCGGCAGCAUCAGGGGCGGUGGCACCUGCCCCAGCGGCGGGGACGGCGGCGCCGGGGUCGACCGGAGCGGCCUCCACCCUUGUCCUGGUUAAUGCCGUUCCCAAAGCGUGGGCUGGGCCUACCCUGCGCUGGAUGUCCCGUGAGGAUCCACAGAGACCCCUCUUCAUGCUUGACGACGCCGGGGAGUGGGGUAAGUGGCAGGCGGUGCAGGGCGGGCUUGCAAAUGUCCGCGCUGCCCUGUCCUCCACGAUGGGGGAGUUGGACGGUAUCGUCAUCCCCGGUGGCCAGGUACGGUGUUCUCCCCGGUGGUUGUUUUCCUCUCACCUCUCCUUUGAUAAGCAUAAUUUGUUUUGUAGGCCCUCCAGGAAUGCAGCUGGGGGAAGUCCGAUUUCCUCCGGCUCGAGCGGGGGCUCUGGGAACGCUUCUCCGCAGACAGACAGCGGACCGGGGAGCUGACAGCGCAGGUUGCUGCCGCUCACCAGGUCAUCACCGACCUGCGCAGGCGCGAGUAGGCGGCGCAGGAGGACGCGCGGCGAGCGGAGGACAAAUUCCAGGCCGUUGUCGAGAAGGCUCACCUUGAUCUCGAGGAGUUCCAGACUGCGGCCGAGAAGGCCCGCUACGUUGCCGAGGAGCUCGCGCGGCUGAAGGGGGACUAUGAGGCCCUUCAGAAAACCGUCGAGCAUAUCCGGCGCGAAUGGCAAAAGGCUUGGCAGGAGCGGGACUCCGAGGCAAUCCAGAAGGCUGAGGCCGAGAAGAUAGCAGCCGAGCUCGGGGAGGAGGUCACUCAGCUCCACGUGCGAGUGCAGGGGCUUCAGACCACCGUAGCCCAGGGACUCGACUGGGAGCGUGAGCUAAAGGCUCAAUCUGAGGGUAAGGCUUAUCCUGUCCCUUUGCUUUUGUGGUGUUGUGAUGGUUUCUAACUUGGCGGAUUUUUGUGGAUGGGCCUCACAGACGAACUCGCCCGGCUGACGGAGGUCCUCAAUGCGGAGCGCGCCGAGCACGGCAACCUGUGGGACGCGGUCCGCGUUGUCUACGACGGCCUUGGCGUGCUCCAAGGGGAGGGGACGAGUUCUUUGGCGGCUCAUGUCCUUGGGCCGUACCGGCGGGCCCGUGAGAUUGCUCGGGAGGUGCUUCACGUCGGUGUGAGGUGGGCCUUCGGCGUCUUCGGCUCCCACUACUCAAAAAUCAACAUCAUUGGGAUGAGCGGGGGGUAUGCCUCCGGCUACUCCGAGGCCGAGCUGGACGAGAUCGACGCGUCGCUGCUCAACCCAGCGGAGGCCCUGGCGAAGCUUCUGGAGGAUGAGGCCAUUCCGCCGGAGGACCCAGGGACGAGUUAGCUGUAUCGGGCUUAGAUGCCCCAGAAUAUAAAUAUGUUAGUUAACUUUGAACUUGUUUUUGUGAUGGCCGCAGAGGCCUUUUCUAUAAUUUAUCGGAAAAGUUUUUGAUCCUCUUUCUUGUUUUUUUGGGUUUGGAAAGUUUAGAGUGCAGGUCGGGCGCGUCAGUAAGCGCUGAUGAGCGAAGGCACCGUAGCCGCUAGGGCGUAGGUUUUUCGCAGUCCGAUCAGUCUUGCCUGAGCGUCGUUUACGCGCUUGUUGGCGCUAGAAAUCAGCUGAUCGAAUUCCCAGCGUUGGACACACGACCCGGGAGAAUCUGCUUAGGUCCUGUUCGGGUGAUUGCCCAGGUGCGGUUCGCGUGGCGUGCCAGCCAAUCUGACCUGUUGAUUGGCAAGGAAAUAAACGUGUCAGUUCCCAGAGGUUGCGAUCGACUAAGGUUCCGAUCUCGAGAAAGCUUAUCAGCGAAUCGGCCGAUUUGCAGUAAUAAAGAAAUCGGCUAUGAUGCAACCGAUUACCAGGCAACGUUUAUAAAGAAAACUGCUAGAGUAAUCUAAACAACGCUACAAUAGCAACACUAGGAACAGAUCUAGUCGGCUAUGCAUAAAAUAGGUAGAUUAAAUAGCGAAGUACAAGGAAAGCCGAAAUUACUGAUUCCUAGCUGGAUAACUGGUGAUAAAACUAGAACAACAGGUAAAACCUAGAAUUCUAGUAAAUAUCGAUAACUGAUGAAUAAAUCUAAACGAAACGACAGCGAUGCGCCCGAAGUUAAAGCUUAGAAUUUACUCGAUAAACGGAACUUACAAGAUCGGCCGGAGGUCAAGUUGAUGCAGCCCCGCCAACCUGUAUGAACUCGUGAAAAGAAGAAAAAGUGUUGGCGAAGUCGCCUGCUUGAAAGUAAGUACGCGAAAACAGUAGUUUGUUGUAUUGAGUUGCUGAUGAUUACAGAUCUACAAGGGUGGCUAUUUAUAGUCCCGUACAAACGACUUCUUAUCCGACUAGAACUCUAUCCCUAAAUUUAAACAGAAAACGAAUAUUUACAAGUACGAUUCGUACUAUUUUCACGCGCUUCAUGGGCUGACCCCCUCUUCAUCUUCAUAAUCCUUUUUAAGCCCACAUCGGCCCAACUAUUCCAACCUCCUAAUCGGCCGAUCACCUCUUUGGCAAGGGGGUAACCGAUCAGGACCCACAUGUCGAGGGCUCAGACUCAUUCCGACCCUGGGAACUAAGGUCGGACGAGGCGGAGACCCUCCUUUGGAGGGUCGGGCGCGUCCGAUCCCAAACCUCAGGGGUCGGGCGAGGCGGAGAUCCUCCCUUGGAGGGUCGGGCGCGUCCGGUCCCAAGCCUCAGGGGUCGGGCGAGGCGGAACUCCAAGGAUCAAUCGGCCGAUCCUCGACUGUAGCAUCAAUUGGCCGAUCCUUGACUGUAGCACCAAUCGGCCGAUUUCCAAUCGUCGCCCUUAUAUCUCACCGCAUCUCCUAAUUUCUUCCACUUCUAACGCCGAUUUUACUCAUGUCAAAAUCUGGCGUCAACACAUGCCCCCCAGUUUCGGAGUAAAACAUAGUCUUUACUUCGAAAUUGUUUUCAACUUCUCACCCGAAACAGACGCAACGAAAACAUCCUUUCGUUUCACGGUCUCCAACCUGAUGAUUGCAAUCUUUUCGAAACGGGCGCCCACGACAACCACUACUCCCGAAAAACUCGCAACGCCGGCGCGGUAAAAAUUCCACUUUUACCCCUUCUCAGACCUUCCUUAAAUAUCAGCACAUCCCGUACUCCUUACGAGCUCACGUCCUUCUUCUUCAGCGCACAGGCUUUCUUCUCCCUCCAACACUUUUCUAAGUCCUCCAAUUCUCCAGCGCCUCCUUCCUUUCGCAUUACCUCCUACUCUUCCAAUGGCGGCACCUUCAGGCACCUCACCAACGCGCGAAGCUCCAGAAAUGGUGCCUUUGGUAGAGGUUCCAGUAGCGACAGCGGCGGCUCCAUCGACGGAAGAAGGAGCUCCAUUGGCGAAAGUUGAAGCUUCAUCCGAGAUCCCAUUGGCAGCUUCAUCGUCUGCAGCUGCACCGGCGACUCCGCCGAUUACGAGGAGCUUCAUCCCGGAGGUCAUUACCGAAACUUUCCCUUAUCAGUAAUGCAUUUACUUUAGACCUAUUUCUUAAUCUCGCGCCCCCUUUUCCUUUUUAGGCGGUUAGGCAUCGCAUCACCAUUCGUCUUACAGAAAACCUCAGCCUUAUCUGCCUUGGGCCCAUGGGAACCCAUAGGAUCCCCUUCAAACAAUCAACCAUGGACCUAGAUCACUGGUUGGGUACCUUUAGGUCUUGGCCGAACGAAACUCCCGGUUGGAGGGAAUGGUACCAACGGAUAGCCGCCUCCAAGAAGGUCCAAUGGGAUGAGCUCAAAAUUGGCCAAUGCAUCGAUCUAUCUUUGUCCCAAAUUUAACGGAAUGAGCAGUUAGUGGUGGCAGCUUCUUACUUCUAGUCCGAUGCUCUCAACGCAUUCCUGUUUGGACACGGACCCGUGACCCCCACAUUGGCCGAUGUAGUCUUGCUGACCGGCCUGGACAUUUCUUCCCCAGACACCCCUUUCCGCCUUAUAACCGCAACAACACAUCAGCUGGACACAAGGGGAAUCGACAGGUGGAAAGGUUUCAUCAGAUGCAACAAAAGGGCCGGAUUUGUCGAGAACAGAGAGCACACGGCCUUCUUGAUGAUGUGGCUAGAGAAGCACUUCUUCUGCGGGAGAGCAGCUGGUCCAUCUACCAAUACCCAAGCUCUGACCGAAGCAUUAUCAAUAGGGACUUCUGUUCCUCUUGGAAAGCACUUACUGGGAGCAGCCUACCACAUGCUUCACCAAAUCGGCAUCAAGCUAUCCCAAGGGGAGCCAAUUGGAAACCCAGGUGGACCCUGGUGGUUCAUUAACUUAUGGCUGAACUUGUACAUGAGCGAGAUCUCUCAGCAGCGAGUGGAACACAUGACAUUCCCCAGCGUCGAAUCGGCAGAGAAUCUCACUGUCCGACGCCGGUGUACGUCUUUCGGCGAAGCGGCAUCAGCCUUCUCUGGUUGCUCGUACUCUGCUACCAAGGUGGCCGAAUACUUCCGGUGUUUUUAUAACGGCUUCAAUGAAGAUGCAACCGUCUGGUUCCCUUAUCGGAGAGAUGACCCAAUCUUUGAACUCCCUUCUUGCUUUGACUCAACCACCGGCCGAUUCGAUGAAGAUCUCACAGAUGAACUAAUUAAACCGGGGAUCUUACCGGCCAACUUCUUCUCAGGAAAGGAUGCCCCUACAUAUGAAUUCUACAACCCCUCCGUUGCAGCACGGCAAUUCGGCAUGGGUCAACUGCCGAUUCAGGCAUACUUCGUCGGCCGAGCAAAGUUCAGAGAUGAGCUCACCAAGGGUCUUGACUAUAGUCGGCUGCGAGAUCGGAUACCAGACUCCAGUACCAUAGACUUGAAUGACUGGAUAGUAGCCCCCUUUGCUGUCCAACCAUUCAAGCUAUGGUGGGCCGAAUGGAAACAGUACCUUUUCUGCGCCUCCGCAUCGACAUACUGCAAUCUCCUGGAUCCAGCCAACAUCGAUCCGAACGCCGAGGUAUUUUUUUCCCUAGCCGAUUUUCAUUCCUUUAUUAAUGCGGUUAAAUAUGUACACUAACAUCUUGUUGUUGCUUCAGUCUGAAAACCGCGUUCCCCCAACACACAGUCGGAGUGGCCGGCCGAUAGAGGACCAUCACCCAUACACCAUCUUCCCCUUUAUCGGCCAUGAUGCCCCUUCCGUGGAUGUGAUUUCCGGCCGAUCGAAGCAGGCGCAGAAGAAGGUUACCAAGAAGACCAGUCGCCGAGUACGAGCUCGUAUAGAACCGGCCGACCCUCCUAUGAUCACAUCGGCAGAAACUUCGGCCGCAUUGCCCCUUCGAGCUGCUGGAGAAGUGGAUACUCAAGUCGUCACACAAGCUGGGGCGGCCGCUACAUCAUUACUGGUGGAGGCUAUGCAGGUAAACUUGUUGUCUGAUCCUACCGAUUGCCAUCCCUAUACUGACUCAUCUUAUUUUAGACUGCACAAAUCACUUCUGUGGACUCACAACAAUCGGCAGCAACCCAAUCGGUCAUCAACACGCCCAUGCUUCCAUCUGCUGAGGUAUGCUACUCUUCAACCGAUUUUUCUAGUAUUUGGAUAAUAUUCUUAUUCAAUCUUUUGACACAGGUCACCGGUACGCUUAGCGCCCCACCUAACCAACCAAUGGUCAUCUUUCGGGAAGCUGGCCCGAGCAAAGCACCAAUCAUGGUGGAGUCUUCUACUUCUGACGAACCAAUGGUACCAGCCCCUGAAUCGAGGAUAACGGCCUCUCAAACGCAGUUUGAAGAAAUCCGUUUCAAGGAGGUAAGAGAUUUCUCACCCUUACUCGGCCGAUUUGCUAUCAUCAUCGGCUGAUUUGUUCUUCUUCUUGACUCACUAUUUUUCAGGAACAGGACACCCCCAACAACAGCCUUUUCUCGUUUGCGGUCGCACUCUCCGAUGACGAGGAAGUCGCCUCUCGCCAGGUCACUUUGAGCUCCGUUCCUGAUGACGUCCGUGCCAAACUCGCAAGCAUCCGAUCCCUUCUUCAAGAGGACAUCGGCCGAUUGGUAGAAGAUGCUUCGCCGAUUCGACAACUUUUUGGUGACAUCAGCGGGCGAGUACCAGAAGAAGCGGAAGAGGCCUUGGCGCCGGCCGCAUAUAUCGAGUCAAUGAGGAUUCCGGUCUUUAGGGCCCUGCGCCACAUGGCCGAUCGCGUCAAGUUGACCAAGACUCGUGAAGAAGAAGAUACGUACAAGCGUCAAGCUCAAGAGGUGCAUCAACGGAUUCACUUUCUGGAAGACUCUCGCCCGGGGAUCGUCGGCACGAUAGAUCGCCUCAAACGCUGAAGGGCAGAGCUUGCCAAGGAGAUGGAGCAGGUGACCAAAGCAAUAGACGCCGAAGAGAAGAGGCUUCAGGAACUCCCUUCUGUCAUAGCCGAUCUGAAACGGGAGAGGCAGCAUCUGGCUCACGAAGCCCUCAAACUCCACCGCCAUAUGUCAGAAGUCCCCGGAUCGGCAGAGGAUGACCAACGGGUCCUGGACUCUGCCGAUCAGAUCCGACACCGAGCGAUCGCAGCUAUCGAUGCCCUUCUGGGUGACCUGUAAAAGUACUGGCAGUUCUUGUACGAAUAUUUAAUGACCCCUUUGACCGUCCUUCGCGACGCCCCCUUAUUUAUUACCUUUUACACUCCCGAUGGGACGCGUCUUACCAAACAUCCAUGCCUUCCUUUCCUAUAAACACCGGCCUAGGUGACCGUUCCGAGAGUACCUAUCUAACUCGGCUUCAUCUUCCCCGACCUGUUCACAUCGGUGCGCCUUUCAGUCAUGUCUUCUCCAUCCUCUACCUCUUCCUCCGUUAAUCAGGUAAAAGAUUUGCCUUCAUUCUCUUUCUUAGUUUAGCUCUUCUGAAGGGAAUCACCUUUUCGGCAACUAUAUGUAUAUUGUUGCUUUCCGCAGCCACGGCACCUUAGCCCUAAACUCGAACGAGCCAUCGGACUUGUACACUCCGACGAACCGUUGUCGCAAGAAGACAAGGAUUUAAUUAGAGCUCAUCGCGAUAAACUCCAAGAGCACGUCCCCGCCGACAUCCGACGGAUCUGGGACUUUCUGGACAGCAACGACCACCGGCGACCUCAAGCCGACCGAAGUCAUCCGCUUCCUCAUCAAAUUGUCCUUGAAGAUGCAGCAGCAGGAACAUCACGCCCGGCCACGGACUGGAGUCACCCUCUCCCCCGUCAAGUCGAAGCGGAGGCUUCGAUGAAAGAGAUAGAAGAAGAGUACAUCCGUCUUCUGAUAGAACUAGGUCGGGCUGAGAGAGAGCUUAAGAAAAAGCGUGAUUAAUUAUUUUUUUGUUCUAAGGGCGACUUGUACCUUGUCGGCCGUGUAACCCACUGUCCGUACCGAAUGAAAUAUAUCGGCCGAUUUGGACGAUUACGUUUUUUCUCUAGACGAACCCUUUUGUAUCGGCUGUGUGUUGUUCAUCGUGGUCGAUCCUUAUGCUCCGACCCAUAUACUAGGGUAGUACCUUUUCAAGUAUCUUCCGUUCAGAGCCCUAGUAAACUCUUCUCCUUCGAUUGUUUCCAGAAUAUAAGCGUUUCCUGGAGCACAUCUGCCGAUUUUAUACGGCCCUUCCCACGUAGGGGACCACUUACCGAAUUUAGGAUCUUUCGACCCGAUCGGCAACACUAACUUCCAUACCAGGUCCCCUGGAGAGAAUUGUUUGACUUUGACCUUCAUAUCAUACCACCUGGCCACUUUCUUCUUGUUUUAUUCAAUGCUUAUCAAAGCUCUCAAUUGUUGGCCAGCCAAGUCAUCAAGUUCCCUUUUCAUGAGUGAGGAGUAGUCGUCGGCCGCUAACUGGUCCUGGAGCGAAGUGCGUCUCGACCCUGCUCUCAAUUCCCAUGGUAGUGCCGCCUCGUGACCGUACACCAACUGAUAAGGGGACAUCUUGGUGGCCCCAUGGCAAGCCAUCAUGUAUGCCCAUACAGCUUUAGUCAGACAUAAAUGCCAUUUUUUCGGCUGCUCCUCUAUCUUCCUCUUGAUUAACUUAAUUAUCCCUUUGUUGGAAGAUUCGGCCUGGUCGUUAGCUUGGGCAUAAUACGGAGAGGAGUUUAACAAUUUGAUUCCCAUAUCGGCCGUGAACUCCUCGAAUUCUCCCGAUGUAAACAUCGUCCCUUGAUCGGUUGUGAUAGUCUGGGGGAUGCCGAAACGGUAGACGAUAUGGUCUCUUACGAAGUCAACCAUAGCAGCCGAUGUUACGGCCCUUAACGGAAUUGCCUCCACCCAUUUGGUGAAAUAAUCAGUGGCCACCAGAAUGAACUUGUGCCCUUUGCUUGACGGAGGAUAAAUUUGGACGAUGAGGUCUAUUCCCCAACCUCUGAACGGCCAUGGUUUGAUAAUGGGAUUCAUGGCCGAUGCGGGCGCACGUUGGACAUUCCCAAAUUUCUGACAAUCCUGGCAUCCUUUAUAAUAUUUGAAGCAAUCUUCGAGGAUCGUCGGCCAGUAAUACCCAUUAUUCCUAAUCAUCCAUUUCAUCUUAUGUGCCGAUUGGUGGGCUCCGCACACUCCUUCAUGGAUUUCUCCCAUCAGAGUCUUAGCCUCCUCCGUUCCUAGACACUUGAGUAGGACGCCAUCAAUUGUUCGGUAGAACAAGUCGUCUUCCAGUAACACAUAUUUGGUAGCAUGAAAACAUACCCGCCAAUCUACUUUCUUAGACGGAUCUUUCAGGUAAUCGGCAAUCUCCUUUCGCCAGUCAUUGGCCGCGAGCUCUAGAGCCAAGGCACCUUGAAUCGGCCGAUACCCAGAUGCGUGUUGGGCGAGCUUGUUGGCAUCCUCGUUGUGAUUCCUUGGGAUGUGCUCGAUAACUGCCGACUUGAAUUCUUUCAGAAGCAGCAGGCAAUCUUCGUAAUAAAUCUUCAACACAUCGUCCUUGCACUCGGACUUCCCUGUUAACUGAUCCACGAUAAGCAUGGAAACCCCAAAAAUUUCGACGGACUCAGCUUUGACUUCCCUUAGCAAUUGUAAUCCCUUCAGUAUAGCUCGGUACUCUGCUUGAUUGUUAGUGGCAGAUGCUUCUAUCGGCAGAGAGAAAUCAUAGCUUGCCUCCCGAGGCGAUAUGAGGACGAUGCCGAUUCCUGAUCCGGCCCCACAUGAUGAUCCAUCAAAGUAUAAAGUCCAAGGUACUGGUUCUACAAAGGUAGCCUCUGGCCCGCAGUGCUGGGCAACGAAAUCGGCCAUGACUUGACCCUUAACGGCUUUUGCCGAUUCAUAUCGAAGGUCAAACUCCGACAAAGCCAAGAUCCAUUUUCUGAUCCGUCCUUUCAAAAUCGGCAGUGACAGCAUGUAUUUUACCACGUCGUCCUUGCAUACGACCACACAUUCCGCUGACAGCAAAUAGUGUCUGAGUUUGGUGCAUGAAAAGUAAAGGCAUAGGCACAACCGCUCCAAUGGAGGAUACCUUGUUUCAGCGUCCAGAAGUCUUCUGCUGACAUAAUAAAUUACUCGUUCCUUUCCCUCGAACUCCUGGACCAGAGCCGACCCAAUAGCUCGUUCAUCGGCUGAUAAAUACAGUUUAAACAGCUUACCAGUUUGAGGAGGGACCAAUACCGGUGGUGAGACCAAGUACUGCUUGAUAUCUUCCAAUGCCUUGCGUUGCUCUUCCCCCCAUAUGAACUCCUGGUCGGGCUUCAACUUUAAUAAUGGUGUGAAGGCUUGGAUUCGCCCAGACAGAUUAGAUAUGAACCUUCUGAUGAAAUUCACCUUGCCGAUUAGAGAUUGCAGCUCAGUUUUAUUCUGCGGGGCCAUGACUUUGUUGAUGGCCGCUAUGGUCUUCCGAUUGAUCUCUAUUCCCCGCUCGUGCACCAUGAAUCCUAAGAAUUGUCCGGCGGAUACGCCGAAGGCGCACUUAUUCGGGUUCAUCUUCAGCCCAUGUUUCUUAGUGCAUUCCAAUACUUGUCGUAAAUCGGCCAGAUGCUCCUGGUGUCCUUUUGACUUGACUACGACGUCGUCGAUGUAGAUUUCUACUAGUAUGCUGAUAAGUUUGUGAAAUAUGUAGUUCAUGGCUCUCUGAUACGUAGCGCCGGCGUUUUCCAAGCCGAAAGUCAUUACCACCCACUCGAAUAAACCAAGGUGACCUGGGCAUCUGAAGGCCGUUUUGGGUAUGUCUUCUUCGGCCAUAAGUAUCUGAUUGUACCCAGCGUUUCCAUCCAUGAAACUAAUAACCUUGUGUCCCGCGGCGGCAUCUAUCAGCACAUCGGCCGUCGGCAUGGGGUAUCCGUCCAUUGGUGUGGCCUGAUUGAGGUUCCUGAAAUUGACGCAUACGCGUAGCUUUCCAUUCUUCUUGUAUACUGGUACAAUGUUGGAGAUCCAUUCGGCAUAACGGCAUUGCCGAAUAAAUUUUGCUUCAAUUAGCCGCGUUAUUUCGGCCUUUAUGUCUGGUAGGAUUUUAGGAUUGCACCACCGUGCAGGUUGUUGAUACGGCCGAUACCCUGGCUUUAUGGGUAACCGAUGCUCAACGAUAGAUCGGUCUAAUCCGGGCACCUCAUGAUACUCCCAAGCAAAGCAAUCCUUAAAUUCUCUUAACAAACUUGUCAGUUUACAUUUGUAUUCCGGAUCUAAAUUUGCACUAAUAUAUGUCGGCCUUGGUUUGGUGCCAUCGCCUAAGUCUAUCAUUUCUAAUGAAUCGGCUGACGUGAACCCGUGUCCCAGCUUCCCAUCUUCUCGGGCGAACUGAUCCAUUUUAAUCUGAGUCCACGGAGCCGACUGCUCGGAUCGGCUGUAGGCCAAAAUCGGACACCUUCAAGAAGUCAGUAUCCCAUACUCUCCCGGAUAUGCACUUGACGGUUUCGCAGCUCCAGUGCUGCGUGUCGGCUGCCACGAUGCUGUAUGCGGAAUCGGUGGUGACCACUUCGAUGUUGUCGCCGACCCAUUGUACGAGGCAUUGAUGCAUUGUAGAUGGGAUACAGCAAUUUGCAUGUAUCCAGUCUCGGCCGAGUAGCAUGUUGUAGGACCCCUUGCCAUUAAUGAUAAAGAAAGUAGUAGGAAGGGUCUUACUGCCGAUGGUGAGGUCGACGCAGAGAGCGCCACGAGCGGGGGAUACGUUGCCCUCGAAGUCCUUGAGCAUCAUAUCUGUCUUGGUCAGGUCAUCAUCGCUCUUCCCUAGCUUCCGGAACAUGGCGUACGGCAUGAUGUUGACUGCAGCCCCUCCGUCUACUAGUAAUCUGGUGAUGGGUCGGCCGUUGACAUGCCCUUUAAGAAACAAAACUUUCAGGUGUUGCCGUUUGUCUUCUUCGGGCUUCUCGAAUGUGGCUGUCAUUGGCUCCAAAGCCAAUUGCGCCAUCUGCUCUUCCAUUGCCGACAUGUCCUGUCGGUCGGCAGGAGUCAUGAAUUCCAUCGGCAGUAUGAAAACCAUGUCGAUGUCGGCUGCCGAUUCGUCGCCUCCUCUGUCGUUUCUUUUGGGGCGCUAUACCUGAGACGUGCCGUUCUUCUCACCUGCCGUAUGCCCUUCCUCUUCCUCCUGCUGUUCCCACUGGCAGAGACGUUGGAUUCUUCAUUUUUGAGACUUGGUCAAUCCAUCGGGGCACCACCUGGUGUUCACCGGUUUGGUUCGUGGCCUGGCGCGUUCCCAUUCUGGUUCGCGUCCUAAAGGGUUCUCGUCUGACACCCGAGCAUCGGCCAUAUCUUCAAGUCGACUGUGGACGCUGACCCUGUUUUCUGGCCAGUCAUGUCGAUCAAAUCUGCCCCCCCCCCCCCGGCCCAUCAUUGCGCCUGCCUUCUGACCGGUCAUACCGGUCACUUCUGCCCCCCAGCUGAUCACGUACUGGAGGGCGCCGGUCGUCUUGUUCACGCCAGUUCCUGCUGAUCGGCUCUGAUUUCCCAUCUCUGGAGCGAGACCUUCUGAACGGCUGAAUGUGACGAUACGGACCGUUGCACUCAGGGAAAUUAUCGACCGAUGGCAACCUGAGGUUGCUUUCCCAGCAGUGGAUGAAGAACGGGCAUCGCCAAUGAUCUUCAUGUCGCCGCAUCGCCUCUUCCCGGGACCUUGAACGUCCAUGUUGCCGUUGAUAUUUGUCGAGCAGGAAUUGGGAAGUAAUGGGUCUGCGUGGUUCUCCUGAUCCGUCGUCAUCGUCCUCCAUCUGCCACUUCCCCUUGAUGUUUUCAGGCGCCGCUUGAUUUCUGGGGUCUACGGCGCCGCUCUUUUUAGCCGAUUCGGAUGUCAGCACCUUGGUUUGGAGCGCAUUCUUUCCUGUGUCAACCAUGUUAGUGGAGAAGGGGUGCUGGUCGAUCUUCAUUGGCUUGGCUGGUUUUGUUGGCACUUCAAAUUUGAGUCUGCCCUGCUCAAUGGCCGUCCGUAUCUACUGCCGGAAGAUUUUGCAUUCAUUAGUGUCAUGGGAGGUAGCGUUGUGCCACUUGCAAUAUUUCAUCUUCUUCAGCUGUUCGGCAAAAGGAAUCGUAUGGUAUGGCGAGAGCUUGAUCUGUCCUUACUGGAGGAGGAGGUCGAAGAUUUUAUCGGCCUUUGAUGUGUCAAAUCCGAACGUUUCCGGCUCCUUCUUGCCAAAUGGACAUGAUAUCGGCUUCUUCCCUUUAACCCAUUCCGCAAGGCCGAUUUCUGUGUCUUCUUCGGUUUCAACCUCUUCUAAGUAUGCCACCUUCUUCUGGAAGUUCCUCCAUGGAUCGAAAGAACGUACUUCUUGACCGGACAAUCGGUGGACGAUUUGGCUCAAGCUCUCAAACUCCUAUGAGGUGUAUUUUUCCUUGAUGUGAGGUAGGAGACCUUGAAAGGCUAUAUCGGCCAACUGUGCAUCAGUCAGGGCCAGGGAGUAGCACUUAUUUCUGAUUUCCCUGAACCUCUGUACAUAUGAGGAUAUCGGCUCGUCGCUUAGAUGCCCCAGAAUAUAAAUAUGUUAGUUAACUUUGAACUUGUUUUUGUGAUGGCCGCAGAGCCCUUUUCUAUAAUUUAUCGGAAAAGUUUUUGAUCCUCUUUCUUGUUUUAUUGGGUUUGGAAAGUUUAGAGUGCAGGUCGAGCGCAUCAGUAAGCGCUGAUGAGCGAAGGCACCGUAGCCGCUGGGGCGUAGGUUUUUCGCAGUCCGAUCAGUCUUGCCUGAGCAUCGUUUACGCACUUGUUGGCGCUAGAAAUCAGCUGAUCGAAUUCCCAGCGUCGGACACACGACCCGGGAGAAUCUGCUUAGGUCCUGUUCGGGUGAUUGCCCUGGUGCGGUUCGCGCGGCGUGCCAGCCAAUCUGACCUAUUGAUUGGCAAGGAAAUAAAUGUGUCAGUUCCCAAAGGUUGCGAUCGGCUAAGGUUCCGAUCUCGAGAAAGCUUAUCAGCGAAUCGGCCGAUUUGCAGUAAUAAAGAAAUCGGCUAUGAUGCAACCGAUUACCAGGCAACGUUUAUAAAGAAAACUGCUAGAGUAAUCUAAACAACGCUACAAUAGCAACACUAGGAACAGAUCUAGUCGGCUAUGCAUAAAAUAGGUAGAUUAAAUAGCGAAGUACAAGGAAAGCCGAAAUUACUGAUUCCUAGCUGGAUAACUGGUGAUAAAACUAGAACAACAGGUAAAACCUAGAAUUCUAGUAAAUAUCGAUAACUGAUGAAUAAAUCUAAACGAAACGACAGCGAUGCGCCCGAAGUUAAAGCUUAGAAUUUACUCGAUAAACAGAACUUAAAAGAUCGGCCGGAGGUCAAGUUGAUGCAGCCCCGCCAACCCGUACGAACUCGUGAAAAAGAAGAAAAAGUGUUGGCGAAGUCGCCUGCUUGAAAGUAAGUACGAGGAAACAGUAGUUUGUUGUAUUGAGUUGCUGAUGAUUACAGAUCUACAAGGGUGGCUAUUUAUAGUCCCAUACAAACGACUUCUUAUCCGACUAGAACUCUAUCCCUAAAUUUAAACAGAAAAUGAAUAUUUACAAGUACGAUUCGUACUAUUUUCUCGUGCUUCAUGGGCUGACCCCCUCUUCAUCUUCAUAAUCCUUUUUAAGCCCGCAUCGGCCCAACUAUUCCAACCUCCUAAUCGGCCGAUCACCUCUUUGGCAAGGGGGUAACCGAUCAGGACCCACAUGUCGAGGGCUCAGACUCAUUCCAACCCUGGGAACUAAGGUCGGACGAGGUGGAGACCCUCCUUUGGAGGGUCGGGCGCGUCCGAUCCCAAACCUCAGGGGUCGGGCGAGGCGGAGAUCCUCCCUUGGAGGGUCGGGCGCGUCCGAUCCCAAGCCUCAGGGGUCGGGCGAGGCGGAACUCCAAGGAUCAAUCGGCCGAUCCUCGACUGUAGCAUCAAUUGGCUGAUCCUUGACUGUAGCACCAAUCGGCUGAUUUCCAAUCGUCGCCCUUGUAUCUCACCGCAUCUCCUAAUUUCUUCCACUUCUAACGCCGAUUUUACUCAUGUCAAAAUCUGGCGUCAACAGCACUCUCUCCUUUUCACGCCCAAACGUUUAGGAAGAGGGUCGGUUCGAAGAAAAGGUGUUUUGAGAAGACGUCAAGUGCCUUAGGCCGGAGCCCCUGAUAGCCCCUGAGGGAUAUGCGACCCUGGGGCAGAGCCAGGGUCGGAUAUCCUUGAGCUCGGGACGAGACUCGAACGAGAUCGACUCAAAAUUGCCUUUUUUUCGUGAAUUAGAAAGUUACAGGAGUAUGUAUGUACAAAACUUGGAAAUAAAAACUAAGGGUAGAAGCAUCUUAGCUGCUCUAUGUUCCAAGCGUUGUUGAAGAUCUGUCCGUCAGGGGUUGCCAACUUGUACAUGCCUGGCCGCAGUACUUGCGCGACGAUGAAGGGGCCUUCCCAUGGAGGGGUCAGAUUGUGCCGGCCUCUGUUGUCCUAGACGAGGCGAAGCACCAGGUCGUCGAUGUUGAAGGUUCGGCCUCAUACCUUACGGCUGUGGUAUCGUUGUAAGGUCUGCUGGUACUUGGCCGAGUGCAGCAAGGCCACAUCGCGCGCUUCAUUGAGCUGGUCUUGCGCGUCUUCGAGCGAUGCCUGGUUCCCCUAUUCAUCGUACGCCUUGACCCUCGGCGACCCGUACUCCAGGUCAGUGGGGAGGAUUCCCUCGGAACCGUAGACCAUGAAGAAUGGGGUGAAGCAAGUCACCCUACUGGGGGUCGUCCUCAGACUCCAUAGGACCGUGGGGAGCUCCGCAACCCACCGGCCGCCGAACUUUUUGAGGCGGUCGAAGAUCUGUGGCUUGAGACCCUGGAGUAUCAUGCCAUUGGCCCGCUCAACCUGCCCGUUCGUGUGGGGAUGCGCCACGGCCGACCAGUCCACUCGGAUGUGGUGGUCAUCGCAGAACUAGAGGAACUUCUUCCCGGUGAACUGCGUGUUGUUGUCCGUGAUGAUGGAGUUGGGGACUCCAAAGAGAUGGAUGAUGUCGGUGAAGAAUUGUAUCGCCUGCUCGGACUUGAUUUGUGCAACCGGUCGUGCCUCGAUCCACUUUGAGAACUUGUCCAUGGCGACAAGUAAGUGGGUGAAGCCCCCGAGUGCCUUCUUGAAAGGUCCGACGAGGUCCAGUCCCCAGACUACUAACGGCCACAUGAUGGGGAUGGUCUGGAGCACCUAUGCGGGCACCCCUCGCAGGUGCGCACCACGUGGGUGGCGUCGGCUGCUGCCGUCGGCUAGUAGAAGCCCUAUCGGAAGGCGUUCCCAACGAGGGUUCUUGGCGCGGCAUGGUGGCCGCAGGCCUCGGCAUGGAUGUCCUGUAUCAACACCUUUCCCUGCUCGAUUGGGAUGCAGCGCUGGACGAUGCCGGUGUGGCUCCGCUUGUAGAGCUCCUGGUCGAUGAUGACGAAUGAUUUGGCACGACGUGCAAUCCUGCGUGCCUCCAUCUUGUUCGUCGGGAGCAUCUCGUGGAUGAGGUAGUCGAGGUACGGGGCUCUCCAGUCAGGCGGGAGGUCGAGCCCCUCUACCGGGUUUGCGUCGAUCUCCAUGACUUCGGGAUCAGAGGGAUCGGCCUUCGGGUCUAGGCCAGAUGAACAGUCGCCGACCUUUCCAGGGUCGAUGUCCGAGUCCGAGACAGGUGGCGCAUUGCCGACCUCUCCCGGGCUGGCGCCCGAAUUCGGGGUAGGUGGCGCGUCGCCGACCCUUCCCGGCUCCUUGUAACGGAUCCAGGGCUUGUACUGGUUGCUGACGAAGACGCCAGUUCGUCAGCUACCUCAUUGAAACGCCUAGCGACGUGGUUGAGCUCUAGUCCAUCGAACUUGUCUUCGAGCUUGCGGACUUCAUUGCAGUACGCCACUAUCUUGGGGUCGUGGCAGCUCCACUCCUUCAUGACUUGUUCGACGACUAGCUGAGAGUCGCCUCGGAUGUCCAGCGGACGGAUGCCCAGCUCGAUGGCGAUGCGAAGCCGUUGAGGAGAGCCUCGUAUUCAGCGACAUUGUUAGAUGCAGGAAAGUGGAGGCGGAUCAUGUAUCUCAUGCGCACGCCGAGAGGAGAGACGAAUAUUGGUCCCGCUCCGGCACGAGCCUUCAUCAACAACCCGUCGAAGUACAUCGUCCAGUACUCUUGCUUCUCCGGCGUCGAUGGCGUCUGGAUCUCCGUCCACUCUUCAACAAAGUCGGCGAGCACUUGGGACUUGAUGGCCGUGCGGGGGGCAUAGGUGAUGCCCUGGUCCAUGAGCUCGAGCACCCACUUCGCAAUCCGUCCCGUGGUUUCUUGAUUCCGGAUCACUUCGCCGAGAGGAAAUGACGAGACGACCGUCAUGGGAUAGGAUGUGAAGUAGUGGUGCAACUUCCUCUUCGUGAUGAGGAUGGCGUAGAUGAGCUUCUGGAUCUGCGGGUAGCGCGCCUUGGACUCGGAUAAAACCUCGUUGACAAAGUACAUCGGGUGCUGCACCUUGAGGGCGUGUCCCUCCUCUUCUCGCUCCACCACCAGAGCCGCGCUAACCACCUGGGUGGUCGCCGCGAUGUAGAGUAGGAGUGGCUCCCCGUCGGUUGGCAGGACUAGGAUCGGGGCCUUCGUCAGGAGGUUCUUGAGCCGGUCAAGUGCCUCCUGGGCCUCGGUGGUCCACUCAAAGCGGUCGGUCUUCUUCAGGAGACGGUAGAGAGGGAGCCCCCGUUCGCCGAGGCGCGAGAUGAAGCGGCUCAGGGCCGCCAGGCAUCCCGUGAUGCGUUGAACUCCCUUUAUGUUUCAAAUCGGCCCCAUGUCGCUGAUGGCCGCUAUUUUCUCCGGAUUGGCUUCGAUGCUGCGCACGGAGACGAUGAAACCCAGCACAUACCCCUCGGAACCCCAAAAACGCACUUUUCAGGGUUGAGCUUGAUGCACUUGUCUCUCAGCCUUUCGAAGGCUAGUUCGAGGUCGGGGAUGAGCUGGUCGCCCUUCUUGGACUUGACUACGAUGUCAUCGACUUAAGCCUCAACGGUUCGCCCGAUGAGGUCCCCGAAACACUUGAGCAUGCAUCGCUGGAACGUAGCCCCCGCAUUUUUGAGGCCGAAAGGCAUCUUAACGUAGCAAAAGGAGCUGAAAGGGGUCAUGAAAGAGGUCGAUAGCAGGUCGGACUCUUUCAUCGCGAUUUGAUGGUAGCCGGAAUAUGCGUCAAGGAAGCUAAGGGUUUCGCACCCGGCGGUUGAGUCGACUAUCUGAUCUAUACGUGGCAAAGGAAACGGAUCCUUUGGGCACGCCUUGUUGAGACCAGUAUAAUCAACACACAUCCUCCAUUUCCCAUUCUUUUUUCGUACAAGAAUAGGAUUAGCUAGCCACUCAAGGUGGUACACUUCCUUGAUGAAUCCGACCGCCAACAGCUUCUGAAGCUCCUCACCGAUGGCCUUGCACCUCUCCUCGUCGAAGCGAUGCAAGCCUUGCUUCACCAGUUUGGAGCCGGCCUUGAUGUUCAAGGAGUGCUCGGCGACUUUCCUCAGGAUGCCGGGCAUGUCCGAGGGUUUUCACAAGAAACUGUCGCUGUUUGCGUGGAGGAAGUCGACGAGCGCGCUUUCCUAUUUGGGAGAUAGGGUAGCGCCUAUCCGUACGGUCCUGCCGUCGGAACUGCUGGGGUCAAGGGGGACCUCCUUGACACCUUCGGUGGCUUUGAAGGAGGUGUCGGACUGCUUGGAGUCGGGCGGGUCCUCAGCACUCUCCGCGAGCUGGACCGCGGGAUCCUCCGUGCAGGUGAUGGCGCGGUUGUUGAACCCUUAGUGGGCCAACCUUCGAACCCCUGGACCGUAAUGGGCCGUAGGGGCGUUUUCAGUCCCGUAUCCCUUUUUUACCUAUUGGUAGGUCUUGGGCCGGUCGUGGAGGAGGUUGUGCGCGCGCGUUUUCCGGGAGGCGAAGUGGCGGAAGGCGCCGGCCCACGAAGCGAGGGAGGCGGAGAUUUCUUCCUGCAGCAGAUCGUGCGCACGGAUUCCAAGAAAUGCGGGUGUGACGGCGCGUACCUGGCGCUGCAUUAACUGCGACAAGACCGUCCCUUUUGCUUCCCAUGCGCCCGCCUAUAAGACGGGGGGGGGGGGGGGGGGGUCUGCCUCCGCCCGCAACUGCUCCCAAAUCUGCUAGGUCAUAUGGCUUUGUUGCACAUGAUGCCUUGUUCGGGCCUGAUCCACGCGCACAGUGAACCAUUGGCGAGUUUUUGCUAAUGUACGAAGGUAUAUUUGUUUCAGAUUUUUGCUGUUGGUGAUGCUUUGGUGACACGUUCUUGCUAUGCUCGACUCUGGCUUAAUUUCUCCGUCCAAAUCUUGACACGUGAAACAUAAUUUGAUUUGUAUUUUGUGAUACGCUGGUAUUAGGGCCUAUAAUGUGCCGUGACCUCACCUCACCAGUUAAUCUGACUAAUGUGGCAAGUCGCCUGCUCGGUUGAUGUAGAAAGGCACUUCGAGGCGUUGUCACGUUGUCAAAAUUGUUUUCUGCUGAAAAAAAAUCACGCUUUCGAUAUGAUUCUGACAGAUUUAAUUAUGCUUCUGAAAGAUUUGAAAGUAACAUGCAACGAGUUUUCGGUGGCUACUGAAAUGUUUAACACGUUUGCCGGAUCUUCACUUCAAGUCAUAAAGAUCGGAGAGGUAUAUCAAAGUACGCCACAGGAAUCGUUCGUGCAUGCUACCUCUUGCAGAUCCCAGAGGCCGUUUCUUUGUUAUUCAUUUUGAAUGGCGUUUCUUAUUGUUUGGAUGAACCGAACUAUUAAGGAUAAAUCUAAAUCGUGUUGGGUCGCGCUUGACUAUGAACGUGCGACCGUUGGCAGCCCGCGGCCUGCUACUAAUGUGAUGGGCUCACGUAAGAGAUAUAAAUACGGUAAUGGUAGGAUGUCCGGUGAAAAAUCGGACGCGGGUCCUGCAGGACGUCUGACUUAUCUAUCGUGUCGGGUCGCGCUUGACUAUGAACGUGCGACCAUUGGCGGCCCGCGGCCUGCUACUAAUGUGAUGGGCUCACGUAAGAGAUAUAAAUACGGUAAUAGUAGGAUGUCCGGCGAAAAAAUCGGACGCGGGUCCUGUAGGACAUUUGGCUUAUCUAUCCACCACCGCAUCCCCCUGAUCCCAUCUAUCUACCACUCAUUCAUCUCUCUCUCCCUCCCCCACCAUGGAGAAUUGGAGAGCGGUGGCGCUCCGGCGAGCUGCCAGGAGGGCGGUACGCGGCGGCGCUCCCGCGAGCUCGGAGGCACGCGGAGGCAGCGCGAGGGCGGCGGCGCUCCAGCGAGCUGCCGGGAGGGCGGCGCGCGAGUGGCGGUGCUCCGGAGACCUCAGAGGGGGUGCGCGAGGGCGGCGGCAGCAAUGGGCUUGGCCACCUAAGGAGCUCCAUUGGGAAGGGUGCUGAGCGCCGCUCCCCCGUGGCCAGGGGCAAGCCGCGCCGGCCGCCGCCAUCCUCCUCCUCCUCCAUCGUUUCCUAGCGUCGGAUCCCGCUGUGCAGUACUCCUCCUGCCAGGAUUUGCUGCAUUUGCAAGCGUAUGUUUCAAGUGUUUCAAAAGAAUAUUGCAAGUAUUUCAUGUGGAUGUUGCAAAGUAGAUCUAGAUGUUGUAAUGUUGCAUAUGUUUCACACACAUGUUGCAAGUGUUUACUCUGGAUGUUGCAUUUUCAAUGAGAGAUUUGAAUAUUCCAUGCAACACGAAACAGACGUUGCGGCGGAUUUUUUUUCCUCAUCAUCAACAGAUGGCUAAUAAAUUUUUUUCAACAUGUUUUUUUGAUGUUGCAAACCUCGAUUUUCUAUGUUGCAAACAUUUAUUUUCUAUGUUGCAGACAUUAUUUUUUGAUGUUGCGAUGGACUAACGGAGCGUCCGAUGGGAAAAACGUCCGAGCGCUAGCAACGCCUAUUUAAAUAUUAGGUGAAUUAGUUUGUGGCUGGUAGUUAGGAUGAUAGCACGCAUGACCUACUACAGCCUUCAAAGGAGAAAACUAAAAUGCGCUGGUUCACGUGAUUUUUUUGUUCAUUUGACCUCUUUAAAAUAUGAUAACUUUCUUCUAAAUUGCCUGUUUUCAACUUCAUCUAUACCACUGGCUUAUUCACGAUGAGCUCUACAAAACUAGAUCCAUGAUGCAUAUAUUUCAAGAAAAAAAUUAUGCGCUAGCAAUUUAUAUCGAAUGCGUAGUAGCUUGUGUGACAACUUAUCGAGUGACUUACCUAUAAAUUAUAUACAUAAAUCGCUACAAAAGAGAUUUUGCAUGAUGUUGUUGCCUACUUGAAGUAUCUACGUAAGUUGUUGUAUUGUCUCCACAUAAAUUAGUAUAUUAUCACAAGUUAUUGCAUUAUUUCUACAUAAGUUGCAACAAUAUAAAAGUUGUCACAAAUUUUCCAAGUAAUUUGACAAUAAUAAGUUGAUAUGAAUUCCUAUAAAAGUUAAAGGUGUAGUAGUAGGUAUACAAGUUAUUACAUUGUAUGAAAUAAAUAGCUACAUGUCCAUGCAUGAUUUUCUACUGGACAUAUAACAGAAUCUGUUAUCCAAAAAUACCAUAUAAGGUGCUACAUAGUUAGUAUAUAAGUUAGUGCUGUGUAUCAACAUAAGUUGACUCUAAGUAUAAAACAACUUCAAAAUAUAUUAAUAUGGAUCUUGUUUUGUGGAUCUUAUUGUAAGAAAAAAAAGGUGUAAACGGAUUUGAAAACCAAUGCUUGAUGAGAGAGUAAUGCUCGUUUGAAGAAAAUAUAACUAUUUUGCUUGCCGAUGUUAUCACCGUUGUCACUCCGAAGUGACAUAUUCAAUCUAUUGCAUGCCACACCCGCGUAUUGCUGCCAUUGCUGAUUGAGGGACACAUGGCGGCACAAGAUAGGGUCGCGCGUUAACCUAGUCCAACUAUUAAUCCCAGAUUUCAUGAAAGAAAAAUAUUAGAGCAGGAUGAAAAAAGGAAAUCAUCUGUGUCUUUCUUCCGGUAGUAGUCAUGGUUUGCAUGCAAAAUAUUCUGAGAACCAUUUUUGGGGGGUGAUACGGUACCUCGACCAAAGUAAUAGGCUAAUAGCACAGCGACACUUAAAAAAAAAGAAAAAGUACAGCAACAGCGCAAUGAUCUUCCAGCAAAACGGUCAUGCCAAUUGCCAACGAUAUGUUCGGUUUGGUACUUCGGUGCAUGUGCUCGAAGGCUAAACAAGUAAAAAAUGGCCACCUGCUAAUUCAAUUUGGUCGUCAAAGUCAGCUAAAUUUUACCCACCAAAUUCAGCUUGGCUACGUGUUCAGCCUUUUGCAUAAGCAGGUGCUCAACUCAGUGCUUCAACACCAUUCUUAUGAAAGCGAUCAUUGCAGCUUUCAGGAAGCCCAACUGUACCUUGAUCAUCGUCUCAGCUAUUUCGGCACGAGCGCUUUACGAGAGAGGUGAACGUGUCACAGUUCCAGCCGGCCGGAAUCUUCAAACUAGGAGCGAGACGGCACAAAUAUAUUCGUUCACAUGCAACAGCGUAAAGGUAAAAUCUUGCCUCCAAUAACAGGAUAGCUAAGGACAACAACCAGUUAAUACUGACCAUGGUUCCGGUCUCUGCUCAGAUGGUUGCUUUCUUGCAUUUGUUUUGUUUACUGACGAAAAUCACACCGGCCAUGUAACUCCUUCGCAUAAGCAACGAAAUUGAAAAUCAAUUUAAUACUCUUGAAUUUACAUGCAAUGGAUUUAUGAAAAUGGGAACUAAAGUGCUUCACACGUGUUUUUUUUUUGCAGAUCUUCAGUCAGUCGAACAUGUUGAGAUUCAUAGAAGAGAGGAUAUGAAUAGGAGCCAAAACGUCGGAGAGAGGCAUCUCGAAGGAAGCUGCCCGGAAUCAUGUGUGCAUGUUCGCUCUUGAAGAUUCCAAAGGGCGUUCCUUUGUUACCUACUGUAUUUCUUAUUCAUUUCGAUUGAGUUCCUGUAAUUGCAGUUCGGAGGAUGUAAAAAGAUACUGUAGUAAUCAUUUCGGUUUUUUCCCCCUACAAAUCCUCCAAUGACCGUAGUCGAGCCUCUGUGGUAAAGUGACAGGAGCGAUUCUACUGCCACUUGGGAUGAAAUAAACCUCGGCCAAAAGGACAGGGACAACGCAAUAACUUGCAAAAACGUGGCCGUUGCCAAAUGCUUAUUCGGUUAUGACUUGGACCGCUUGGUGCUACGUGUGCAACCCGGCCCUAUCAUCUCACUCGGUGCUUCAACGUCAUUCUCAUCCAAGCGAUUUCUUCAGCUUUCAACAAGCCUGACAACUGUAUUUUCAUUAUAAUUGUUACUGUUAUUUUAGCACGAGCAGCUUUUUUACAUUUUUUUUUGGCUAGGUGUGACGAGGGCAAGAGGAGCAUAUACCAUACAUGAAAGGAUAGAAGAAAAUCCCCAUCGUACCUUGCUUCUUCGCAUUGUUCGGAUUUAUGAAAUAUAUAGGGCACAUGUAUUGAACAUGUUUGCAAGGGAAAUAGAACCUCUUACAGAGUCAAAAGAUAAAGGAACUUGAACAAGAGCGUGUACAAAAAGAAUCGUUUUAUUCCUUUUGUCUGCUAUAAUUCUUGUUAGUCUAGCUGGCCUGUCAGAAAUAUAUUUGGGUCAUUUUUGUCCAUGUGACUAACGAGUAACGAGAGGAGUGCUACUACUAUUAGGCGGUAUUUGUUUAUCACACCGAAUGUAUAGAAACUAAUUAGAAGUAUUAAAUAUAGACUAAUUACAAAACCAAUUGCACAGAUGGAGACUAAAUUGCAAGACGAAUCUAUUAAGCCUAAUUAGUCCAUAAUUUGACAAUGUGAUGCUACAGUAAACAUGUGCUAAUGAUGGACUAAUUAGACUUAAUAGAUUCGUCUUAUGAAAUAGUCUCCAUCUGUGUAAUUAGUUUAUAAUUAGUUCAUGUUUAGUCCUCCUUAUUAGCCUCCGAAUAUUCGAUGUGACAUGAAUUUUAGUUCGAACUAAAAAUCCAAACACCCCUCGG
This 29134-nucleotide long non-coding RNA is filed under the name Setaria viridis. Its description in RNAcentral is "long non-coding RNA (SVIR_LNC010252)". Lineage: Eukaryota; Viridiplantae; Streptophyta; Magnoliopsida; Poales; Poaceae. The record is from RNAcentral.